GAAAGGAGUCCAUGAGUGGACAUGUUAGUGAGAUACCAGAAUUGUCUUGAGUAGAAAAUGUUUGGAGCUUUGUUUUGCUUGUGAAGUGUGUGCUGAACUGUGCUUUCCUUGUUUAAAUGGUUGCUCCAUGGUGCUGGAUGUUCAUCAUUCCAGAAUUUUGUUCUUUUUACUUUUGCAAUGUACAUAUGUUUGGAAAACUUUGAAAGCAAGUUGCUCUUCAAGCUUAUAAGAUGAACUACCUUUCUCUCAGAUUUUAG
This 257-nucleotide long non-coding RNA is filed under the name Rosa chinensis. RNAcentral's name for it is "sRNA RchiOBHm_Chr7g0209841". Lineage: Eukaryota; Viridiplantae; Streptophyta; Magnoliopsida; Rosales; Rosaceae. The record is from RNAcentral.